Molecule: ribosomal RNA, 822 nt
Filed under: uncultured bacterium
Lineage: Bacteria
Description: bacterial SSU rRNA
Rfam family: Bacterial small subunit ribosomal RNA
Source: RNAcentral
CGGAGUAGCCCAUGUCCGAUUAGUUUGUUGGUGCGGUAACGGCGCACCAAGGCGAUGAUCGGUAGCUGGUCUGAGAGGAUGAUCAGCCACACCGGGACUGAGACACGGCCCGGACUCCUACGGGAGGCAGCAGUGGGGAAUAUUGGACAAUGGGGGAAACCCUGAUCCAGCGAUGCCGCGUGAGUGAAGAAGGCCUUCGGGUUGUAAAGCUCUUUCGCGAGGGAAGAAAAGGCAACGGUAAAUAAUCGUUGCCACUGACGGUACCUCGAUAAGAAGCACCGGCUAACUACGUGCCAGCAGCCGCGGUAAUACGUAGGGUGCGAGCGUUAAUCGGAAUUACUGGGCGUAAAGCGUGCGUAGGCGGCCAUGCAAGUCAGAUGUGAAAGCCCCGGGCUUAACCUGGGAACUGCGUUUGAAACUGCAAGGCUAGAGUUCGGCAGGGGAAGAUGGAAUUCCAUGUGUAGCGGUGAAAUGCGUAGAUAUAUGGAAGAACACUAAUGGCGAAGGCAUUCUUCUGGGCCGAUACUGACGCUGAGUCACUAAAGCGUGGGGAGCAAACAGGAUUAGAUACCCUGGUAGUCCACGCCCUAAACGAUGUCCGCUAGCUAUUGGAUUUUAGAUUCAGUGGCGAAGCUAACGCGUUAAGCGGACCGCCUGGGGAGUACGGUCGCAAGAUUAAAACUCAAAGGAAUUGACGGGGACCCGCACAAGCGGUGGAUGAUGUGGUUUAAUUCGAUGCAACGCGAAAAACCUUACCUGCUCUUGACAUGUCUGGAACUCUGCAGAGAUGCAGAGGUGCCUUCGGGAACCAGAACACAGGUG